GGCGAGCGUAACUCAGUUGGUUAGAGUGUUAGGUUGUGGUUCUAAAAGGCGGGGGUUCAAAUCCCCUCGCCCGCCU
This 76-nucleotide transfer RNA is filed under the name Macrocystis pyrifera (giant kelp). RNAcentral's name for it is "tRNA-His". It matches the Rfam family "tRNA". From Rfam's summary of the family: Transfer RNA (tRNA) molecules are approximately 80 nucleotides in length. Their secondary structure includes four short double-helical elements and three loops (D, anti-codon, and T loops). The record is from RNAcentral. Lineage: Eukaryota; Phaeophyceae; Laminariales; Laminariaceae.